GAAGGGUAUCAAACCUCUUGCACGAUUUUUUCUUCUGCACAAAACAUUUAUCCCUAAAUCCUUCUACACUAUUUUCUCUCGUCCAAGGAAGAACAGGUACAUCGUUUCAUUCUUCUUCUUUAUCUCUCUUCCUCUCUUGCCCUUUUCCAGCUUCUUCUUCUUCCUCCUAUCUUAGAUUCAUCAACAUUUCCAAUCUCUUUUUCUCCCCAAGCCCUAAUUUCCCACAUUUUGUUUCUUCCAAGCACAUCAUCUCCAUUUGUCGUCUUCAGUUGUCCCGUGCUUCUCCUCGCUUUCUCAUCCGUCUGGUACAUUCUUCGUUCAUUCCUAUAGAACUCCUCUUUGUUUUUUCGUUCUUCGAUUCGUUCUUUGCUCUUCGACUUCCUUUUUGCUUAACUGCCACUAAUUGCCUUCAUUUACUUUUUCUUCAUGGAUUCGAACGUGUUUGAUGUGGGUAUUCAUGUUUAGUUUUUGUUGUUUGUUCUUCUGUCUGCAAACUAUUUGAGAAAAUGACUGAAAGAGUAAUUUCUAGAUUAUGAUUCCUCGGGUAUGAAAUUUUCUUCCUUGUUGACUAAUAAACUUUGAGGAUGAUUGCACAAGAUCUACUCUCAUUUUUCUUUUUAAGUUCUACUCUAACUUUGGUCUUCUAGUUCUUGGAUGCACAUUUGAUAUAUAUGAGUUAUUAGAUUUUGAAUGUUUGAGAAAAAAAGUUUGGAGGAAACCAUUAGAAAAUUGGAGACAUAUAGACAAAAGUUUUCAAGCUUGGAAAGCAGUGAAUCAAAAUUACCAUUUUGUGCAUAUUGCUUCUGAGGUGUUGCUUAAGAAAGAGUAUGAUGACAAGAUGUGUGGUCGUGUGGGGUGACCUUAUAUGUUCUUUGGUUUGUUAUUCAUUUGUUAUAAUUAAUAGCAAAGUUAGAUAUUAUUAUUGGCUGCAUAUGUUUCCUCUGUGCUCCUAAAAAUGGUUGGUUUGGUUUUCACGUUGACAACAAGAUAUUGCUUUGCAAUAGGUGCUAACUAAACAAUGCCUUUGUCCAUUCCCUAAGGAAAUCAAGGGCAAGGGAGAUUUCAUGGCUAUGUGAGGAAGCUUUGGAAAAAAGAGAAUGAAAAAUGAAUGGUUAGAUUUUAAACUUUGAUGGUGUGCAGGGCCUUUAAGCAAUUUCUAGAAUUUAGUUGUUAUGGUCAUACAUGUUUAGUAUUAGGUUUUAUUUCUAGUAGUGCAGGAAUUUCAAUCUCCUCUCUUAUUGAAAAGAUUAUUUAGCCUUAGGAUGUAUUUAGGAUUGUUUCUCAAGUAAUGACUUUUUGGAAUGAAUAGAAAAUUAUUUGGAUACUUGGUUUUA
Molecule: long non-coding RNA, 1334 nt
Organism: Cucumis melo (muskmelon)
Lineage: Eukaryota; Viridiplantae; Streptophyta; Magnoliopsida; Cucurbitales; Cucurbitaceae
Exons: 4
Source: RefSeq, a predicted model, not a curated record